This 763-nucleotide long non-coding RNA is filed under the name Anas zonorhyncha (Eastern spot-billed duck). RNAcentral's name for it is "lncRNA (ENSAZOG00000011747.1)". The record is from RNAcentral. Lineage: Eukaryota; Metazoa; Chordata; Aves; Anseriformes; Anatidae.
GUGAAAAUCAAGAGCAAACAGUGAGGAAAGACAAGUCUUGUCAGUCUGGAGAAUGAGUUGGUUGAACCACCAGGCCCCGGAUCUAUGGCAGCGGAAGCAACAUUGGAAUUGUGUCUUGCUGCGUGCUAGCUGCACUCCAUGGUGGACAAGUUUAAAGGGUGUGAAGUCUUUCCACCACGGAGGCUGUGUGCCAAACAGGCAUUUCCCUGUUGCGGAGGAAUUCCCAGAUGGACCAAGAUGGGGACUGGGUCUUUGGGCCAAGGCAUGUGAUGAAGAGUGACUUGAGUGAGAAGGUCCCAUCUGGGCUGCUGAGCUACACUGACUGCAUGGUCCUGCUCCAGCAUUCAGAGCAGCAGGAAGCCCAGCCACUGUGCAGACAGAUGAGAAAAAGGUAAGUCAGGCACCUACAGUGAGUUUGCUUCAGCUGACAAAUAAAUCCAAACUGUUUCUCUCAGUAAGUAUUGGGCUAAAUAAAGACUGCUGGAAUUUAACUUUAUUUGAAAAACAUGAGACAAAGCAAAGUGUGAAGUAAUGGUUUCCCAUUCCUUCACUUUGCCAUCACAUAGUUUGUAUAGCCUGGGCAGAGAUGUCCAAUUUAGGGGAAAGGUUGCAUUGCUGGUAAUGAGUAUACACCACUUACAUCUUUUGGCUGUGGUCCUUCAGUAUGUCUUGUGUGUCAUGGGACCUGAUUAUUAUGGAGACUCUGCUGCUCCUAUGGGGAAGAACACAUGUUUCAAUUCAAUGUGAUCAAUACUGCAGAGAU